AUGUUUGGGAUGCUUCAAUUCCAAAUCAAGCUUGUGCAGAGGUAGACCUCAGAUCCGCUGUCUGCACUUAGACAUCUUCCAAGAGAAACACCCGCCAACUCAAUCAUUGUCUGACUAAGAGACCCUGGAGUCCUCAGAUGGGGAAAAAGGAAAAGUUAAAUCAAGCAAUUUCAUACGUACCUGUGACUCAUUGUGAAACCUAAGCUGCAGAAAACUGACAGCAGGAACAGAGGAUGCUGACCUAAUUUGCCAGAACAAAGAAUAAAUGUGAACAUUACUUAAGAGGGACUUUCAUUUCUGCCUCCAUGAGAGUAUCUGAGGAAUUUUAAACUCCGUGGAACUUGAAUGCCAACAGCUCUUCAUCUGUUCACAUUAAAGAAAAUUAGAAGGAGGAGGAGGAGAGAAGAAAGUCCUAUCAUCAAGUUUAUUACUCCCAGGGUGGUCAGCUUUCUAUUUAAGGGAAUAUGCCCAAAUUUCAGAACUGGUUUAGUUUAUGCUCUGAAAAACAUAGGCAAUUAUUCACCUGCCUCUUACAUAUUUGUGUGUCUGGCUGUGACUUUCGAUG
Molecule: non-coding RNA, 565 nt
Organism: Macaca mulatta (Rhesus monkey)
Lineage: Eukaryota; Metazoa; Chordata; Mammalia; Primates; Cercopithecidae
Source: RefSeq, a predicted model, not a curated record